GUAAAGUUCUUUUAUUGAAGAAGAAACAAUAGUGGAAAAACUAUCUUGACGUUAUUCAAUGAAUAAGCCCCGGCUAACUAUGUGCCAGCAGCCGCGGUAAUACAUAGGGGGCGAGCGUUAUCCGGAAUUAUUGGGCGUAAAGGGUGCGUAGGCGGUUUAAUAAGUCUCUAGUUUAAUUUCAACGCUUAACGUUGUCCUGCUAGAGAAACUGUUUGACUAGAGUGAGAUAGAGGUAAGCGGAAUUCCAUGUGUAGCGGUAAAAUGUGUAAAUAUAUGGAGGAACACCAGAGGCGUAGGCGGCUUACUGGGUCUUUACUGACGCUGAUGCACGAAAGCGUGGGGAGCAAACAGGAUUAGAUACCCUGGUAGUCCACGCCGUAAACUAUGAGUACUAAGUGUCGGGGUUAAACUCGGUACUGAAGUUAACACAUUAAGUACUCCGCCUGAGUAGUACGUACGCAAGUAUGAAACUUAAAGGAAUUGACGGGAUCCCGCACAAGCGGUGGAUCAUGUUGUUUAAUUCGAAGAUACACGAAAAACCUUACCAGGUCUUGACAUACUCUGCAAAACUAUAGAAAUAUAGUGGAGGUUAUCAGGGAUACAGGUGGUGCAUGGUUGUCGUCAGCUCGUGUCGUGAGAUGUUAGGUUAAGUUCUAAAACGAGCGCAACCCCUGUCGUUAAUUGCCAGCACGUUAUGGUGGGGACUUUAGCGAGACUGCCAAUGAAAAAUUGGAGGAAGGUGGGGAUUACGUCAAAUCAUCAUGCCCCUUAUGAUCUGGGCUACAAACGUGAUACAAUGGCUGUUA
RNAcentral lists this ribosomal RNA (806 nucleotides) under 'Phoenix canariensis' lethal yellowing phytoplasma. Its description in RNAcentral is "bacterial SSU rRNA". It matches the Rfam family "Bacterial small subunit ribosomal RNA", at positions 425 to 1239 of the family's 1533-position model. The record is from RNAcentral. Lineage: Bacteria; Bacillati; Mycoplasmatota; Mollicutes; Acholeplasmatales; Acholeplasmataceae.